UACGGAGGGUGCGAGCGUUGUCCGGAAUCACUGGGCGUAAAGGGCGCGUAGGCGGCGUGACAAGUCACUUGUGAAAUCUCCGGGCUUAACUCGGAACGGUCAAGUGAUACUGUCGUGCUAGAGUACAGAAGGGGCAACUGGAAUUCUCGGUGUAGCGGUGAAAUGCGUAGAUAUCGAGAGGAACACCUGCGGCGAAGGCGGGUUGCUGGGCUGAUACUGACGCUGAGGCGCGAAAGCUAGGGGAGCGAACGGG
RNAcentral lists this ribosomal RNA (253 nucleotides) under uncultured bacterium. RNAcentral describes it as "partial 16S ribosomal RNA". It matches the Rfam family "Bacterial small subunit ribosomal RNA", at positions 524 to 776 of the family's 1533-position model. The record is from RNAcentral.